RNAcentral lists this ribosomal RNA (840 nucleotides) under uncultured bacterium. RNAcentral describes it as "bacterial SSU rRNA". It matches the Rfam family "Bacterial small subunit ribosomal RNA", at positions 60 to 914 of the family's 1533-position model. The record is from RNAcentral.
AGUCGAACGGUCCGCAAGGACAGUGGCAAACGGGUGCGUAACGCGUAAGCAACCUGCCCUCAACUGGGGGAUAGCCCGGCGAAAGCUGGGGUAAACCCGCACGGUCCCAUUAUUUCACCUGGGGUGAUGGGUAAACAUUUAUGGGUUGAGGAGGGGCUUGCGUCUGAUUAGCUAGUUGGCGGGGUAAGGGCCCACCAAGGCGAUGAUCAGUAGGGGUUCUGAGAGGAUUGGCCCCCACAUGGGUACUGAGAUACGGACCCAACUCCUACGGGAGGCAGCAGUAGGGAAUAUUGGGCAAUGGAGGCAACUCUGACCCAGCCAUGCCGCGUGCAGGAUGAAGGCGCUCAGCGUUGUAAACUGCUUUUAUCAGGGAAGAACAGUAGUGGUGCGCCAUUAUGUGACGGUACCUGAGGAAUAAGCACCGGCUAACUCCGUGCCAGCAGCCGCGGUAAUACGGAGGGUGCAAGCGUUGUCCGGAUUUAUUGGGUUUAAAGGGUGCGUAGGUGGAUCUUUAAGUCUGGUUUGAAAGCAGGCGGCUCAACCGUCUGAUGUGGCUGGAAACUGGAGGUCUUGAAUGUGUUGGCGGUAGCCGGAACGGGUCAUGUAGCGGUGAAAUGCAUAGAUAUGACCCAGAACCCCGAUUGCGAAGGCAGGCUACUAGGACAUGAUUGACACUGAGGCACGAGAGCAUGGGGAGCGAACAGGAUUAGAUACCCUGGUAGUCCAUGCCGUAAACGAUGAUUACUGGCUGUCUGCGUGAAGACGUGGGUGGCUGAGCGAAAGCGUUAAGUAAUCCACCUGGGGAGUACGCCCGCAACGGUGAAACUCAAAGGAAUUGAC